UCAGUUUCUAUCAAUGCAGAUUUUAUAUCUAUAUACUCCGUCUUCUACUCUUCAGUCACAUUCUUCUCCAUUUAUUCAAAAUCUGAGAAAAGAAGUUUAGAGAAAAUCAUGAGUUAUUCAAGAAACUUCCUGCAAUUGCAAAUUUGUAUUAUCCAACAAAAGUUUAAAGGAGAAACGAGAGAUAUUUGUUUUCAAGUCCUCCUGCUGCUGGCAAUUUCUUUCUGCCAAUUAAAGGGGAGAGAGAGCUUACCGGUUGUAAGAAACGGAUCUGCCGACGGAGGAGCUGGCAGUGGCUGGAUUGCAAUGCGUUGGCGACGACGGCCAGAAGCAGCGGCGCUGCCCGACGGA
Non-coding RNA from Salvia hispanica, 348 nucleotides. NCBI's taxonomy places the organism in Eukaryota, Viridiplantae, Streptophyta, Magnoliopsida, Lamiales, Lamiaceae. The record is from RefSeq and is a predicted model, not a curated record.